This 492-nucleotide ribosomal RNA is filed under the name uncultured bacterium. Its description in RNAcentral is "partial 16S ribosomal RNA". It matches the Rfam family "Bacterial small subunit ribosomal RNA", at positions 29 to 507 of the family's 1533-position model. The record is from RNAcentral.
AGUGAACGCUGGCGGUAGGCCUAACACAUGCAAGUCGAACGGCAGCACAGUAAGAGCUUGCUCUUACGGGUGGCGAGUGGCGGACGGGUGAGGAAUACAUCGGAAUCUACUUUUUCGUGGGGGAUAACGUAGGGAAACUUACGCUAAUACCGCAUACGACCUACGGGUGAAAGCAGGGGAUCUUCGGACCUUGCGCGAUUGAAUGAGCCGAUGUCGGAUUAGCUAGUUGGCGGGGUAAAGGCCCACCAAGGCGACGAUCCGUAGCUGGUCUGAGAGGAUGAUCAGCCACACUGGAACUGAGACACGGUCCAGACUCCUACGGGAGGCAGCAGUGGGGAAUAUUGGACAAUGGGCGCAAGCCUGAUCCAGCCAUACCGCGUGGGUGAAGAAGGCCUUCGGGUUGUAGAGCCCUUUUGUUGGGAAAGAAAAGCAGCAGGUUAAUACCCCGCUGUUCUGACGGUACCCAAAGAAUAAGCACCGGCUAACUUCGCG